GAUGAAGAACGUAGUGAAAUGCGAUAAGUAGUGUGAAUUGCAGAAUUCAGUGAAUCAUCGAAUCUUUGAACGCACAUUGCGCCUUCUAGUAUUCUGGGAGGCAUGCCUGUUUGAGCGUCAUUAAACCUCUCUCAAGUAUGAUUACUUGGAUGUGAAGGAAGAGUACCUUAAACUUAAGGAGUGUUCUCCUUUGAAAUAGAUUAGCAGAUGGUAAUGUUAUUAAAUCCCUGAUGUUGUAAGAAAUAACAGUGGUUUUGUAGACUAUUAUCUAGCUUUAAAUUAUAAUUUUUAUUAUGGUUGACCUCAAAUCAGGUAAGGAUACCCGCUGAACUUAAGCAUAUCAAUAAGCGGAGGA
This 355-nucleotide unclassified non-coding RNA is filed under the name soil metagenome. Its description in RNAcentral is "partial contains 5.8S ribosomal RNA, internal transcribed spacer 2, and large subunit ribosomal RNA". The stretch from base 1 to 120 matches the Rfam family "5.8S ribosomal RNA", at positions 35 to 154 of the family's 154-position model. The record is from RNAcentral.